UACGUAGGGGGCAAGCGUUGUCCGGAUUUAUUGGGCGUAAAGAGCUCGUAGGUGGUUCGGUAAGUCGGAUGUGAAAUCUCCAGGCUCAACCUGGAGGGGUCAUUCGAUACUGCCGUGACUAGAGUUCGGUAGGGGAGUGUGGAAUUCCUGGUGGAGCGGUGAAAUGCGCAGAUAUCAGGAGGAACACCCGUAGCGAAGGCGGCACUCUGGGCCGAUACUGACGCUGAUGCGCGAAAGCCAGGGGAGCGAACGGG
This 254-nucleotide ribosomal RNA is filed under the name uncultured bacterium. RNAcentral describes it as "partial 16S ribosomal RNA". It matches the Rfam family "Bacterial small subunit ribosomal RNA", at positions 524 to 776 of the family's 1533-position model. The record is from RNAcentral.